GCAGGGGUAGCCAAGCGGUCAAAGGCGCCAGAUUCAGGGUCUGGUCCCUCAGUGGGUUCAAGGGUUCAAAUCCCUUCCCCUGCA
RNAcentral lists this transfer RNA (84 nucleotides) under Microcaldota archaeon. RNAcentral describes it as "Candidatus Micrarchaeota archaeon (hot springs metagenome) tRNA-Leu". It matches the Rfam family "tRNA". Rfam says of the family: Transfer RNA (tRNA) molecules are approximately 80 nucleotides in length. Their secondary structure includes four short double-helical elements and three loops (D, anti-codon, and T loops). Further hydrogen bonds mediate the characteristic L-shaped molecular structure. tRNAs have two regions of fundamental functional importance: the anti-codon, which is responsible for specific mRNA codon recognition, and the 3' end, to which the tRNAs corresponding amino acid is attached (by aminoacyl-tRNA synthetases). tRNAs cope with the degeneracy of the genetic code in two manners: having more than one tRNA (with a specific anti-codon) for a particular amino acid; and 'wobble' base-pairing, i.e. permitting non-standard base-pairing at the 3rd anti-codon position. The record is from RNAcentral. Lineage: Archaea; Nanobdellati; Microcaldota. RNAcentral also lists the same sequence under 1 other name.